GACGACUAGGCGUUAAUAACAUUUUAUGGUUUUCUUAAUAUAGAGGUUAUAUAAUACUUAUAUUAGUACAAUAACUAUAUGUUACAAUAGUCUAGUGGUACCUUUGUCUUGAUAAAACUAUGCAUUCUUAGGUUCGACGCCCAAAGCAUUCAAUUUUUUUUUUUUUUGGCCAUUAAAAUAAGAAGGGCAAAAUCGUAAUUUUAUUUUCAAAUCAUCUUCUUCAUCGAAACCCUAGUAGCCGCUGGUCGUCUGUGUUUUUUUAACUCAGUUUCUUUGCUAUUUCUUUCACACUUUCCAUCAUUUCUUCAUGUAAUUUAACCAAAAUAACACUAAUCUACCAUUUAUCUCUAAAUUUGUAACAAAAAGAUGAAAAUUUAAAUAGUUUUCUGUUUUGACCGAUUUUCUUUACCGACUAC
Molecule: long non-coding RNA, 416 nt
Filed under: Capsella rubella
Lineage: Eukaryota; Viridiplantae; Streptophyta; Magnoliopsida; Brassicales; Brassicaceae
Description: long non-coding RNA (CRUB_LNC003322)
Source: RNAcentral